This 253-nucleotide ribosomal RNA is filed under the name uncultured bacterium. RNAcentral's name for it is "partial 16S ribosomal RNA". It matches the Rfam family "Bacterial small subunit ribosomal RNA", at positions 524 to 776 of the family's 1533-position model. The record is from RNAcentral.
UACGUAGGGCGCAAGCGUUGUCCGGAAUUAUUGGGCGUAAAGAGCUCGUAGGCGGUCUGUUACGUCUGCUGUGAAAACCCGGGGCUUAACCCUGGGCUUGCAGUGGAUACGGGCAGACUAGAGUGCGGUAGGGGUGACUGGAAUUCCUGGUGUAGCGGUGGAAUGCGCAGAUAUCAGGAGGAACACCGAUGGCGAAGGCAGGUCACUGGGCCGCAACUGACGCUGAGGAGCGAAAGCAUGGGGAGCGAACAGG